This 433-nucleotide ribosomal RNA is filed under the name uncultured bacterium. Its description in RNAcentral is "partial 16S ribosomal RNA". It matches the Rfam family "Bacterial small subunit ribosomal RNA", at positions 29 to 507 of the family's 1533-position model. The record is from RNAcentral.
AACGAACGCUGGCGGCAUGCCUAACACAUGCAAGUCGAACGAGACCUUCGGGUCUAGUGGCGCACGGGUGCGUAACGCGUGGGAACCUGCCCUUAGGUUCGGAAUAACUCCCCGAAAGGGGUGCUAAUACCGGUUAAUGUCUUCGGACCAAAGAUUUAUCGCCUUUGGAUGGGCCCGCGUUGGAUUAGCUAGUUGGUAGGGUAAAAGCCUACCAAGGCGACGUUCCAUAGCUGGUCUGGGAGGAUGAUCAGCCACACUGGGACUGAGACACGGCCCAGACUCCUACGGGAGGCAGCAGUGGGGAAUAUUGGACAAGGGGCGAAAGCCUGAUACAGCAAUGCCGCGUGAGUGAUGAAGGCCUUAGGGUUGUAAAGCUCUUUUACCCGGGAUGAUAAUGACAGUACCGGGAGAAUAAGCUCCGGCUAACUCCGUG